GGGGGAUAGCCUUUCGAAAGGAAGAUUAAUACUCCAUAAUAUAUUGAACGGCAUCGUUUAAUAUUGAAAGCUCCGGCGGAUAGAGAUGGGCACGCGCAAGAUUAGCUAGUUGGUGAGGUAACGGCUCACCAAGGCGAUGAUCUUUAGGGGGCCUGAGAGGGUGAUCCCCCACACUGGUACUGAGACACGGACCAG
RNAcentral lists this ribosomal RNA (195 nucleotides) under uncultured Flavobacteriales bacterium. Its description in RNAcentral is "partial 16S ribosomal RNA". It matches the Rfam family "Bacterial small subunit ribosomal RNA", at positions 138 to 334 of the family's 1533-position model. The record is from RNAcentral. Lineage: Bacteria; Pseudomonadati; Bacteroidota; Flavobacteriia; Flavobacteriales.